AUGUCUGCUUUUCUAUCACUGUGGUGGACUUUCGGCAGCGGCACCAAACUGGAUGUUGGCAGCGUCACUCGUCCUAAAGUGAGCGUCCUGCCGCCCUCCAGUGCAGAGAUCUCCUCAAAGAAGACAGCGACACUGGUGUGUGUGGCCAGCAAGGGCUUCCCGUCAGACUGGAGCCUGAGCUGGAAGGUGGACGGGAGCAGCAGGUCUCAGGAGAGCAGCGCUGGGCUCCUGGAGAAGGACGGUCUGUACAGCUGGAGCAGCAGCCUGACUCUCUCUGAGCAGGAGUGGAUGGAGAGCGUCUCAGUGAGCUGUGAGGCCACACGGAGCGGCCAGCCUGCGCUCACUGGACACGUGACGAGACAGCAGUGUUCAGAGUAGAUCUGCUGCUCUUCUCACUCAUGUCUCACAUGGAGACUAACAGCACAUGAGCGACUCCUUCAUUCUCCACAUCCAGCUUCAGUCGCUCGCCUCUGCAUCUGCUCUGCUUUGUGUGCUUCAUACAAGACUAUAUGUGUGCUUUAUCAUUCUGUCUGGAUUUUAUUACAAUUCAGUCAAUAA
Molecule: non-coding RNA, 558 nt
Organism: Sinocyclocheilus anshuiensis
Lineage: Eukaryota; Metazoa; Chordata; Actinopteri; Cypriniformes; Cyprinidae
Source: the annotation of a RefSeq genome assembly